This 577-nucleotide ribosomal RNA is filed under the name Aureobasidium pullulans. Its description in RNAcentral is "LSU rRNA". It matches the Rfam family "Eukaryotic large subunit ribosomal RNA", at positions 64 to 661 of the family's 3401-position model. The record is from RNAcentral. Lineage: Eukaryota; Fungi; Ascomycota; Dothideomycetes; Dothideales; Saccotheciaceae.
ACCAUUGGACAUGAUAGUACGGCGAGUGAGCGGCAACAGCUCAAAUUUGAAAGCUAGCCUUCGGGUUCGCAUUGUAAUUUGUAGAGGAUGAUUUGGGGAAGCCGCCUGUCUAAGUUCCUUGGAACAGGACGUCAUAGAGGGUGAGAAUCCCGUAUGUGACAGGAAAUGGCACCCUAUGUAAAUCUCCUUCGACGAGUCGAGUUGUUUGGGAAUGCAGCUCUAAAUGGGAGGUAAAUUUCUUCUAAAGCUAAAUAUUGGCGAGAGACCGAUAGCGCACAAGUAGAGUGAUCGAAAGAUGAAAAGCACUUUGGAAAGAGAGUUAAAAAGCACGUGAAAUUGUUGAAAGGGAAGCGCUUGCAAUCAGACUUGUUUAAACUGUUCGGCCGGUCUUCUGACCGGUUUACUCAGUUUGGACAGGCCAGCAUCAGUUUCGGCGGCCGGAUAAAGGCUCUGGGAAUGUGGCCUCCACUUCGGUGGAGGUGUUAUAGCCCAGGGUGUAAUACGGCCAGCCGGGACUGAGGUCCGCGCUUCGGCUAGGAUGCUGGCGUAAUGGUUGUAAGCGACCCAUCUUGAACCA